Long non-coding RNA from Leptinotarsa decemlineata (Colorado potato beetle), 434 nucleotides. RefSeq lists it as uncharacterized. The record is from RefSeq and is a predicted model, not a curated record. Lineage: Eukaryota; Metazoa; Arthropoda; Insecta; Coleoptera; Chrysomelidae.
AUCAUAACUUCUUGUUAUAAGUAGUGGUUAUACUCAUAAUAAUGAAGGGACUUUCAGUUCUGUGGAUUUUCAUUUCUUUUAUUGUCUUUUCAGAAGGGUUCGUGUGCCCAGAAAAUUAUUGUCACACAGUGAAAUGUGCACCUGCACAUUGCAAUGAAACACAGAUAUUUGUCGAAAAAGGAAGUACUUGCGGAUGUUGUGAUGCUUGCUACACAAAACUUUAUGAAAAUGAUAGAUGUCGUCCACUAACAAUAGGAACUCCUUUCAUGGCAAAAUGUGUCGAUGGUCUGGUUUGCGGUAAAGAUGGUGUAUGCGUGAAAAGAAGAUGUCAUUAAGUUUUCUGAUGAAGUACUUUUAGAACAGCUACAAAUUCCAAUGUUUCUAUCGCUUUGAAUUGUGAAUAUGUCGUUUAAUAAAUCCGAACUGAUGAGUAA